Molecule: ribosomal RNA, 432 nt
Filed under: uncultured bacterium
Lineage: Bacteria
Description: partial 16S ribosomal RNA
Rfam family: Bacterial small subunit ribosomal RNA
Source: RNAcentral
ACGAACGCUGGCGGCAUGCCUAACACAUGCAAGUCGAACGAGACCUUCGGGUCUAGUGGCGCACGGGUGCGUAACGCGUGGGAACCUGCCCUUAGGUUCGGCAUAACUCCCCGAAAGGGGUGCUAAUACCGGCUAAUGUCUUCGGCCCAAAGAUUUAUCGCCUUUGGAUGGGCCCGCGUUGGAUUAGCUAGUUGGUAGGGUAAAAGCCUACCAAGGCGACGAUCCAUAGCUGGUCUGAGAGGAUGAUCAGCCACACUGGGACUGAGACACGGCCCAGACUGCUACGGGAGGCAGCAGUGGGGAAUAUUGGACAAUGGGGGAAAGCCUGAUCCAGCAAUGCCGCGUGAGUGAUGAAGGCCUUAGGGUUGUAAAGCUCUUUUACACGGGAUGAUAAUGACAGUACCGGGAGAAUAAGCUCCGGCUAACUCCGUG